Long non-coding RNA from Diuraphis noxia (Russian wheat aphid), 424 nucleotides. Lineage: Eukaryota; Metazoa; Arthropoda; Insecta; Hemiptera; Aphididae. The record is from RefSeq and is a predicted model, not a curated record.
CUUCUUKGUCAUUUCUCCUUUGUUCGUUGCUGCGUUCGCGCGCGUCCCAACGAUCUGCUUGUUAUAAAAUUGUUUUUACCGCCAUUUAAUUAUUGUGUUCACUCCGUUUUCCACAAGUUGUCUACCGGUGUCGUCGCCGCAGUGAAUAACAGCGUUUUGCGGUUAUUCUUUUAAGUAAAGCCUCUACGUCGUGGAGCCUAUGGUCAACGGCAUUGUUUCAGGAUUUUUGAGCAAUCGUUUCAAGCAGACUAACAGUUUUCCACUCAGUCUCUGAACCACGAAUGAAUCCAACUACUCUUGGUUGAAACGGUUUUCUCUGGGACAUUAAGAUCAAAUUCAAUCAAGGUUGUCUCUUUUACUUAAAUCGACAACAGAUACCACACGCAAUUCCAAGUCUUGCAUUAUCAAAGAACUAUUCUUCAAA